This 4060-nucleotide long non-coding RNA is filed under the name Mustela putorius furo (domestic ferret). RNAcentral describes it as "lncRNA (ENSMPUG00000027791.1)". Lineage: Eukaryota; Metazoa; Chordata; Mammalia; Carnivora; Mustelidae. The record is from RNAcentral.
UCGGUCUUCUGCUCCUCACCCUUUUCCCUUUCAAACGCCUGGAAUUAUGGACGCCGGGCAGCGACAAUGAGGGGCACCCCCGGGGGCAGCAGGGCAGGAAGACGCAGGCACCCAGGCACCGGGACACCGUUUGGAGGCCAGCCAAUGGCCCAGGGGCAUCUACCUGCAGACAUCUGUGUGGGAAACACGCGAAUAAACGAACAUACGAGAACUCGGAUUUGCACCCCGACCCGAAAGCUGUCACCCGCUCGGCAGCACCCGCCCCCUGCCCUCCCCCGUCACACAGUAAGGAUGGCAGCCAUGCGGAGCGAGAUCACAUGAAAGCGCCCCGCCCCAUUUGGCAUUCCAGACGGACGGCAAACAGUAGGGACAGUCACGUCCCUGCACGGCAAGCUUUCUCGGCCUCAGCACUGCGACCUGGGGGCCGCUGGGGCUGCCCCGUGCACUGCGGGACCCUGAGUGGCCUCCCUGGCCACCACCAUGAGACGAGAUGCUGGUGGCAGCCCCCCCCCCCAUUGUGACAACCAAACAGGUCCCUGGACAGGUGUCCUGGGGAAGACAUGCUGUGGGAACCUGCGGUCGCCUCUGUGACACGGUGCCCACAUGGCAUUUGACACAGGAGGACCAGGCCCUACCGAGUGCGUCCCGCAUCCCUCGCUGCCGGGUUCUCCAGACUGUACGAGGCUUGGGCCCAGAAGACUUGAAUCUGCCAGCAGGGCCGGGAACAUAUCUUCAUACCUUCCGACCAGCCCGAGGUCAUGGGGUAGGGCGGCGGGCCAGCGGCAGGGCUGGUGUGCGGGAGGCUCAGAGCCACGGCGGACCCAGCAGGACCACCGCGGCUCCGAGUGUGGGUCCCGGCUCGGGGGCCUCUGCAAGCAGCUCAGUCAUUAGGAUCACGGAGCUCACAUCUGGGAAAUUGAGCCCCCCACCCAGCCUCUGUCCUUGAGCCAAAAUAACACGCUCUAAGCUCUGAUACAGUUGAAAGUGAAACCACAUGGUUUUAAAGGUUUUAAAGCUCAUUUGAAGAGGGCAAAGGGUCAGGAGAGAAGGAGCUGCGUUUAGGAGGGAUGGCACCUUCCACACGAAGAGUCCCCCUAGAAAGGCGGGUGUGCGGGCUGUCCACGUUCCUGUCCACGGUGGCGAGGAGGAUGUGGCCUCCUGAGCCAGUCCCCCGGGAGCCUGGGGGUUUCAGAGACAAGGAGGGGGCUUGGGGAGAGCAGGGAGGGGGCAGGGACGGCUGGGGACAACCCUGAGCUGCAGGCCGGCUGAUGCGGCGCCGGCCGGGACAGCAGGAGCGGGUCCUCCAGAUGGUCCUCAGGCACCGAGGAGACCACUAAAACCGAGAGCGCUCGCUUCUUGUCCGAAGUCCCCACGCAGUCUGGGUGGUGAAGCGCCGAUGGGAAAUCUGCUUCUUCACGGGCACCUCAGCGUCACCGUCGUCAGAUGGACCCAUGCGUGGUGCUCAGGUCGGUCACCGGAGCCCGUCACCCACUGCGGUUUCCAGAACGCCAUUUGGAGAUUGUCCAGUUCCCACUGUUUUCACGGCUCAAGCGGCCACCGAUGGGGCCCUUCCGCCAUCCUCUGUGACAACAGCACUAGCAGCGACGGGCCCGUCCGUCCUGGGCUUCACGGCUUGCGAAGGUCUUUCUUCAGAGUCAGUGCUCGCCCCAUGAGGGGGUCUCAGUCGGAAAACAGAACUGAAAAAUAUGUAACAUAAGGGCCUUGUCCAGAGUCAGGUUGGGUAGGAAGAGGCAGACAGGACCAGCGUCCUCGGCAUCUUCCGGCAGCGCUGGGACUCCGCUGGGACGUUCUUGCGCUGUGUCCUUUCGAUCUCCCUGCCGUAAUAUCGGGGAAGGGGUAGCCUGCAUCCCGGAGGUGACACGUGUCCUGUCUACCUCGCAGAGAAGCUGUAGGGUGAGACGAAAUGUCCAUUUCGAGGGUGUCCAAGGAGACCCAGGUCUGGGCAUGUGCAGCCCCUUGCCCGUGGGACCUGAAUGACCGGCUGGGCGCAGACCUAUGAUCAGGGGAGCCGUGUCCAUCAUCCCGAGAGGUCCCCAGCCUUCCUGCAGCUGCCGGUCUGCAGCCUCCCGCGUGCGCGGCCUGGGCACACCUGCUUGCUGGUGACGACUCUAAAUGAAAAGAUUUCAGGUCCCUUAUUGUGAAACCGUUGGGGGCAGGCACAUGCAGAAUCCAGAGUCGGUGCCUACGCCACACACCGUGGAGGUGGACGCAGCGGGGUUGGGCGAACAGUGACAUGCUAUGAUCACAGGUGACAAAUGCACACGCACGUUUGGGGAAGAUCCUGUCACCAAUUGAGGGUUUUUAAAAUUUACAUGUUCAGCUUUCCAGACGUUGGGGUUGCUGAGAUGCUUUCACAGGUGUGCUGUCGGCGACUCUGGGCCACCUAGGCAGAGCCGUGGCCUGUGUCCCGCAGCUGACACCCCCCUUCUCCGUCUCUAUCACUUUUCCACCAGGCCCGAGAGGUGUAGACGUGUUUCUCUCCCUCUGCGUCUCAAGGGCAAAGCCCAAGCUGUCCGGGGUGCAGGAGCCGAGACAGGUCCCACACCGGGUCGCCCAGCAGCCGGAGGAGCGCGGCCGGAGCUGCAUCUCCUGCUCUGGGGCAUUUUCUUUUAAGAGAGGAAAGAACCUGGGGGGUCUGGCUGAGGACAGUCCAUCACGGCCGGCUCUGGAGGAGGCAGGGCCCCCUCCACGUCCACUGAGAACCGUCUUGCCUUUGGCACUCACUUUUCCCAAAAGUGAAAAUCCCUUUCGUCUGUGGGAAAAACCUCACAAAAAAGGAAAAGCCCAACCGAAAGGCACGUUGGUUUCUAUUUAUAAUCCGAGGGAAGGAAUUUCACACAGAUUCAACUCAUGUAUGAAAAAACAGCCUGUUCCUCGGGGUCGGAUGUGUUUCCCGUUUCCUACGCGCGCUGAUGCCUUAGUCACCACUCAGAGCUUGGGGACGGCUUCAUCGAAAGAUGAUUUACUGAUCGGGGACGGAGGGGGAAGCUCGGCGGCGGUGCACGCGCUCUCCACUCACCUGCCCUGCCCGUCCCCCGGGGACGCCUGGGGCACCUCCGGGGGGCUCCUCACCUCGGGCUGGGGCUGGCAGGUGAGAGCCCCGCGUGUUUUCAUGUCUUCCCCAUGAACAGGAGGAGAGGACGGGCAUGAGCGAGAAGACGAGGUCCGAUUUCCAGGACGGCGGAGCUGGGGACGGAACCACCCUUUCUGCCUCGCCUCCCCCGCUGCUGGCAAGUUCUAUGGAAAACAAAGAUGCCUUUGAAGGCAUCUCAUUCCGUGGUAAAAACCCCAAUCUCGAGGCUGGAGGAAUUUGGGGGAGAUUUGAAACUCUUGACCCCUUGACGGGUGUGUCCGUCUAACGAGCGGCCACGAGGAGGUCAGCUCCGGCCCCCACGCAGGCCGCUCGGAUCCCAGGAUGGUGCGCGCGGACCGACACGGCUCGCUGCUGGUAGCCGCCUAAAGUCUCCGAGGACCUCCUGGCACAGGGUCACCAUCCGCGAAAAAGACGACCCCAAAACAGCAGGGCUGGGCGCACGUUGUCGUGAGGUAGACAGGUGAGCGUUUGCAGAGCCUACACGGGAAAGGGCUUUCGUACAUGGAUUUUCUCCCUCGGUCCCCGGCAUGGGCUGAGCUGUUUCCCUCUCCCAGUCCGAGGCCUGUGAAUCUGAACUGAUUUGGAAACAGGGUCUUUGCAGAUGAUCGUGCUAAGAUGAGGCUCUCGGGGUGGGCCCGAAUCCAGUAUGAGAGGUGUCCACAUAGAAGGGGGACCUGGGACCUGGAGACUGGGACACAGAGAGAAAGCCAGUGUGGAGCCCCAGGCUGGACAGCACCGGCCAGCCGGGCCACAGCAGGGGCCACCAGAGCCAGGAGGCGGGCACAGACGGGUUCUCACUCACUACCUUCAAAAAGCUGACCCCACGCAGGGCCGGAUGUCAGAUCUGUGGUCUGCGGAACUGCGAGGGGGUACGGCCGUAUGGCGGAAGCCGCCCCGUUUGUGGAAUGCUGUCCCAGCAGCCCCCGAGCCCUGGUAACGCGCCCC